This 314-nucleotide long non-coding RNA is filed under the name Elaeis guineensis (African oil palm). Its description in RNAcentral is "long non-coding RNA (EGUI_LNC019486)". Lineage: Eukaryota; Viridiplantae; Streptophyta; Magnoliopsida; Arecales; Arecaceae. The record is from RNAcentral.
GCUUAUGGGGUUGAAGUGUUGUGCAAGCUGGAGAUUAGAUGAGCUUCUAAUUCCUUGAAGCAUUUUCUCUUGGUCUGGUUAUUAUCAACGAAAAUUUACACCAAGUUAUGGAUCUUGAUCGCAGAUCAAUACCAUAAGAAAAAGAAUAUUACACUAACCAAACAAUAGAAUUAUGUAAAGUAAUCAAUAUACAUCUAAUUCUAUUGUAUCAUUUAUUUAAUUUGUGCCCACUCGAUCAACAACAAUAAAUUUUAUUUUUUGGCUAGCAAGAAAUCAUUUGAAUAGAGAGAGAAGGAUAUAUCAAGAUAGAGGAU